CCUACGGGUGGCUGCAGUGAGGAAUAUUGGUCAAUGGUCGGGAGACUGAACCAGCCAAGCCGCGUGAGGGAGGAAGGUACAGAGUAUCGUAAACCUCUUUUGUCAGGGAACAAAGACUGGGACGCGUCCCCGGAUGAGUGUACCUGAAGAAAAAGCAUCGGCUAACUCCGUGCCAGCAGCCGCGGUAAUACGGAGGAUGCAAGCGUUAUCCGGAUUUACUGGGUGUAAAGGGAGCGUAGACGGCAGCGCAAGUCUGGAGUGAAAUCCCAUGGCUUAACCAUGGAACUGCUUUGGAAACUGUGCAGCUGGAGUGCAGGAGAGGUAAGCGGAAUUCCUAGUGUAGCGGUGAAAUGCGUAGAUAUUAGGAGGAACACCAGUGGCGAAGGCGGCUUACUGGACUGUAACUGACGUUGAGGCUCGAAAGCGUGGGGAGCAAACAGGAUUAGAUACCCCGGUAGUC
This 460-nucleotide ribosomal RNA is filed under the name uncultured bacterium. RNAcentral's name for it is "partial 16S ribosomal RNA". It matches the Rfam family "Bacterial small subunit ribosomal RNA", at positions 338 to 795 of the family's 1533-position model. The record is from RNAcentral.